This 206-nucleotide unclassified non-coding RNA is filed under the name uncultured fungus. RNAcentral's name for it is "sequence contains ITS1". The record is from RNAcentral. Lineage: Eukaryota; Fungi.
UACAUUAGUGCUUGCGCACACAAUAAAUUUCAUUACAUUCGAGUUUGUGUAAAAUCCUCUGCCGGCCGAAGCUAGCAAGAGGCCAAAGGUGCACAGGGUAUUGGAUGAAAGUCACCAACGUGCACUUGCCAAAGCCGAAGCCGGCCAGCACUGAAGGCAACGAUUCGCAAUCAUUAAUGAUCCUUCCGCAGGUUCACCUACGGAAA